GUAGUCCACGCCGUAAACUAUGAUCACUCGUUGUUGGCAAUACAUCGUCAGCGACCGAGCGAAAGCAUUAAGUGAUCCACCUGGGGAGUACGGUCGCAAGAUUGAAACUCAAAGGAAUUGACGGGGGCCCGCACAAGCGGAGGAACAUGUGGUUUAAUUCGAUGAUACGCGAGGAACCUUACCUGGGCUUAAAUGCAGGACGACGGAUCGGGAAACCGGUCCUUCCUUCGGGACGGACUGCAAGGUGCUGCAUGGUUGUCGUCAGCUCGUGCCGUGAGGUGUCGGGUUAAGUCCCAUAACGAGCGCAACCCUUAUCGUUAGUUGCCAGCGGGUCAUGCCGGGGACUCUAACGAAACUGCCGGUGUAAACCGAGAGGAAGGUGGGGAUGACGUCAAAUCAGCACGGCCCUUAUGUCCAGGGCUACACACGUGUUACAAUGGUCGGUACAAAGGGCAGCUACCUGGCAACAGGAUGCAAAUCUCGAAAACCGAUCUCAGUUCGGAUUGGAGUCUGCAACUCGACUCCAUGAAGCUGGAUUCGCUAGUAAUCGCGCAUCAGCCAUGGCGCGGUGAAUACGUUCCCGGGCCUUGUACACACCGCCCGUCAAGCCAUGGAAGCCGGGGGUACCUGAAGUCUGUAACCGCAAGGAGCGGCCUAGGGUAAAACUGGUGACUGGGGCU
RNAcentral lists this ribosomal RNA (680 nucleotides) under uncultured bacterium. RNAcentral's name for it is "bacterial SSU rRNA". It matches the Rfam family "Bacterial small subunit ribosomal RNA", at positions 790 to 1482 of the family's 1533-position model. The record is from RNAcentral.